CCUACGGGAGGCAGCAGUGGGGAAUAUUGCACAAUGGGGGAAACCCUGAUGCAGCGACGCCGCGUGAGUGAAGAAGUAUUUCGGUACGUAAAGCUCUAUCAGCAGGGAAGUAAAUGACGGUACCUGACUAUGAAGCCACGGCUAACUACGUGCCAGCAGCCGCGGUAAUACGUAGGGGGCAAGCGUUAUCCGGAUUUACUGGGUGUAAAGGGAGCGUAGACGGCAGCGCAAGUCUGGAGUGAAAUCCCAUGGCUUAACCAUGGAACUGCAUUGGAUACUGUGCAGCUAGAGUGCAGGCGAGGUAAGCGGAAUUCCUAGUGUAGCGGUGAAAUGCGUAGAUAUUAGGAGGAACACCGGUGGCGAAGGCGGCUUACUGGACUGUAACUGACGUUGAGGCUCGAAAGCGUGGGUAGCAAACAGGAUUAGAUACCCGGGUAGUC
RNAcentral lists this ribosomal RNA (440 nucleotides) under uncultured bacterium. RNAcentral's name for it is "partial 16S ribosomal RNA". It matches the Rfam family "Bacterial small subunit ribosomal RNA", at positions 338 to 795 of the family's 1533-position model. The record is from RNAcentral.